AUCAGUCAACAUGGCAUGGCCAUCAGCAUCUAGAAGAAUGUUCUCAGGUUUUAGGUCACGGUGCAUAAUCCCAUUUGCAUGAAGGUGAGAGAUUGCAGACACCAUUUCAGCCGUGUAUAUGCAUGCAAGUUCUUCCCUGAACAAACCAUGGUGAUAAAGUUGAAAGAAAAGGUGUCCCCCAUUCACAAAAUCCAGUACAAGAUACAAUCGAUACUUCGUCUGAAAAGAGUAUCGUAGCUGAACAAUGAAUGGGUGAUCUACUUUUGUCAAUAUAUCCCUCUCAGCUUUCAUAUACUCGGCAUGAUUCUUUUCCAUAAUCUUGUCCUUUCUCAUGACUUUCAUUGCAUAAAUUUCUGAAGUUCCUUUUUUCUUCACCUGAAACACCUUGCCAAAUGCUCCUUGUCCAACCACCUUCAUAACUUCAAAAUCAUUUAGUCCAACACCCUUGGCCUUCUCAGACUUAGUUUCAAGCUCUUCAGAAUCAUAAAUAGAUGGCUCAUCUGGUUCUCCAAGAACCACCCCAGAGGCACACUCUACAAGUUCCAAUGAACUCUCAGUUUCACGUAAUGUAAGCUUGCUGAGCCGCUGCAUUGAUGGACUGACACAGGUUGUGGGCCCGACCAGAGAAUGAGAUCGGUUGAGAACCACCACUGGAUCAACGUAAACUCUCUCAGUUGAAUGAGAUGCAUGAUCAAGGCCCUCAGAAGUCACCGCAUUCAUGUUAUCAGGGGAAGGACCAAAUACAUCAGAGAAAUCAAAUUCAACUUGCUCAGAAGUGACAAUUUCAAGGGGCACCACAGGAAGUAGCUGUCUCUUAAACGACCGGUGACCAAGGGUUUUGGUCAUGGUCGAUAGCUGAGAGGAAACCAUUUCAGAAUGGUCGAUAGCUGUAAUUGGUUGGUUGGUUGGUUCCCUCUAUGUUUGGCUCCCUCCACAACUCCCAAAGGUAAUUGAUGAAGGACCACUAACAACGGACUUGAACAACUGGAAGUUCACGUGGAUGACUCGAGCUCCCGGGAAUACAGGGAGCAAGCAACCGUAAAUCCAGAAGUUGCCCUUGUUUCCCGAUACACAGGAAACACUAGAUGCCAGUGAACUUCUUGAAUUCAUGAAAUUG
Molecule: unclassified non-coding RNA, 1117 nt
Filed under: Hevea brasiliensis (rubber tree)
Lineage: Eukaryota; Viridiplantae; Streptophyta; Magnoliopsida; Malpighiales; Euphorbiaceae
Source: RNAcentral